Long non-coding RNA from Ipomoea triloba (trilobed morning glory), 1558 nucleotides. RefSeq lists it as uncharacterized. The transcript is spliced from 9 exons. The record is from RefSeq and is a predicted model, not a curated record. Lineage: Eukaryota; Viridiplantae; Streptophyta; Magnoliopsida; Solanales; Convolvulaceae.
CCACUUCUCGCCUACUCCACUCCACACUAUCACAAUUCUCCGCAUUCCUCUGUGUCUCGACGCCUCAACCUCGGCCACACUCCGGUCAAGCGGUUACGCCCUCACACCCUCUGGCCCUACCCUCGCAUCUUAGUCCGCUCGGUUUCUGCUUCUCCGUCCUCCGACGCCAACGACCUCGCUCCUCCCCGUCUCCCUCACAAUCUCUGGCCCUCAGCCAGUCAGGACCUGCUAGGCGGCCCGUCUUCUCCGGCGAUUCAGGUGGAUUCUCCUCGUGGUUGUCUUCGGCGUAUCCCGGUGGACCUGGGGCAGAAACCUAGACGGCCGGUUAGGGGUUUUCCUCUCUUUUUGAUCAUUCACAGAGAAAUAUCGGUCGAUUCCAUUUCGAAUGAUCUUGAUAAGUAUUUGCAUAUGGAUAUAUUUAUAUUUAUGUUUCUCUGUGUGCUUCAAAAGAGUUAUACUUCCUAAUCUUAGAUGUUCUUGCUACGAAUUCAGAUAUUAUAUAGCAAUAAUGUGUGCUUACUUUACAGUUUUGUAGAAUAUGGGUAAAUAUCACCGAAGGAUCACUGGGUUUUUUUAUGUAUGAACGGUAGAUUUGGGAUUCAAUAAUUCCCAAAUCGGAGCUAUAAAGUGCAAUCUGGAACAUGCAUGACCAUAUCUGUAAGAUCUGGAACCAAGAACUGGACAUGCACAGGAGCAAUUCUACUUGAGGAUUAUCACUUGGUGGAGAAGCUUGCUAAUUUUGAUUAUGAAAGGAUUCCAGAAUGUGUUGUACAUGCCAAGGGAGCAAGUGCCAAAGGUUUUUUUGAGUUCUCCACUGUUAUCUAUGAUUGCGGAAGCCCUGAAACCCUCCGGGAUCCCAGAAGCUUUGCAGUGAAGUUUUAUACCACAGGCUGAGUAAAAAUACCAUAGCAAAUGCAUGCUCACUAUUUCAGUUUCCACUUCAGCUAAGGAAGUUGAUGAGAGAGGUUAUCACACAUCCAUAACAGAACAACAUUUUAGACUCAGAUGUAAGGCACUACAUCAACACAACGUUUAAAACAACAAUAUGAGAAUGAUAUUAGGAAACAUUGUCCCAUGAAAUUCAGAAUGAUAGUAGGAAACAUCCACUAAGCCUGCCGUUUGUCAUCAGCUCACCUCCCUCCUGUAAAAGGCUCAUCUUUGGAGUUGUUCCCAAUUCUAAUCCUCAACACGUCUUCAAGCAAAUGUCUUCUUCCCCUUACUGGAUGCUUUCCCAAAUCUUCUUUGAAAGCUCAAGAAACGCUGGGCCAGUCUUCCCCUGCAGCCUCAUGGUUACGAUGGAUGCUACUCAUUUUCACUCUUUCCAAAACACAUAUAUAUAUAGGAAAGUUCAUUUUAAAAUUAUUAUUAAUUUUGAAGAUUUCAACAGUCAUUUCCCAUUUAAAUUCAUUUUGUGUUCACACAUGUAUUAAUGACUUGUAAUAAUAGUUUUAGUAUACGAAGAGCUUUUAAGCAACCUUUCAAGUUUUGACAUUUAAAUAUCAGUUUCAAGACAAAAGGAAUUAAAACGCCUGCAUUUUGUGUGGGGAAAAUUAUUAUA